ACUCAAAUGAAUAGACGGGGACCCGCACAAGCGGUGGAGCAUGUGGAUUAAUUCGAUACUAACCGAAGAACCUUACCCAGGCUUGACAUCGAUGGAAAGGGCCCGAAAGGGCUCCCUCCCUCUCAAGGGGACCAGAAGACACUUGUUGCAUGGCUGUCGUCAGCUCGUGCCGUGAGGUGUACGGUUAAGUCCGCCAACGAGCGCAACCCUCGUCCCGUGUUACCAGCAUGAAAGAUGGGGACUCACGGGAGACCGCCGGUGUAAGCCGGAGGAAGGUGGGGAUGACGUCAAGUCAGCAUGGCAGUUACGCCUGGGGCUUCACACAUGCUACAAUGGGCGCAACAGAGGGCCGCGAUGCCGCGAGGCGGAGCCAAUCCCAAAAAUACGCCCCCAGUUCAGAUCGCAGUCUGCAACUCGACUGCGUGAAGGCGGAAUCGCUAGUAAACGCAGGUCAGCUAUACUGCGUUGAAUACGUUCCCGGGUCUUGUACACACCGCCCGU
This 501-nucleotide ribosomal RNA is filed under the name uncultured bacterium. RNAcentral's name for it is "partial 16S ribosomal RNA". It matches the Rfam family "Bacterial small subunit ribosomal RNA", at positions 899 to 1397 of the family's 1533-position model. The record is from RNAcentral.